AAAGUACCUUCGGGUGCGAGUAAAGUGGCGGACGGGUGAGUAACGCGUGGGAAUCUGCCUAGUAGUGGGGGACAACAAUCGGAAACGGUUGCUAAUACCGCAUACGCCCUACGGGGGAAAGGCUUCGGCCGCUAUUAGAUGAGCCCGCGUAAGAUUAGCUUGUUGGUGGGGUAAUGGCCUACCAAGGCGACGAUCUUUAGCUGGUCUGAGAGGACGAUCAGCCACACUGGGACUGAGACACGGCCCAG
This 248-nucleotide ribosomal RNA is filed under the name uncultured bacterium. RNAcentral's name for it is "partial 16S ribosomal RNA". It matches the Rfam family "Bacterial small subunit ribosomal RNA", at positions 71 to 334 of the family's 1533-position model. The record is from RNAcentral.